Molecule: ribosomal RNA, 498 nt
Filed under: uncultured bacterium
Lineage: Bacteria
Description: partial 16S ribosomal RNA
Rfam family: Bacterial small subunit ribosomal RNA
Source: RNAcentral
AUUGAACGCUGGCGGCAUGCCUUACACAUGCAAGUCGAACGGUAACAGGUCUUCGGAUGCUGACGAGUGGCGAACGGGUGAGUAAUACAUCGGGACGUGCCUAGUAGUGGGGGAUAACUACUCGAAAGAGUGGCUAAUACCGCAUGAGAUCUACGGACGAAAGCAGGGGAUCGCAAGACCUUGUGCUACUAGAGCGGCCGAUGGCAGAUUAGGCAGUUGGUGGGAUAAAAGCUUACCAAGCCGACGAUCUGUAGCUGGUCUGAGAGGACGAUCAGCCACACUGGGACUGAGACACGGCCCAGACUCCUACGGGAGGCAGCAGUGGGGAAUUUUGGACAAUGGGCGCAAGCCUGAUCCAGCAAUGCCGCGUGCAGGAUGAAGGCCUUCGGGUUGUAAACUGCUCUUGUACGGAACGAAAAGCCCUGGGUUAAUACCCUGGGGUCAUGACGGUACCGUAAGAAUAAGCACCGGCUAACUACGUGCCAGCCGCCGCCGUAA